Molecule: long non-coding RNA, 301 nt
Filed under: Homo sapiens (human)
Lineage: Eukaryota; Metazoa; Chordata; Mammalia; Primates; Hominidae
Description: non-protein coding lnc-CCDC187-1:29
Source: RNAcentral
ACACUCGACCCAGGCCAGGCCAGAGGAGGCGUUGAAGCUGGAGCAGCCUCCGAUGUGCAAGGACCGAGAGCCGACCACAGCCUCUCAGAGCACAGGGAUGGCCACACCCAGGUCACACCCGCCUCUGGACACAGAUGCUGCCACGUCCUCCCAGGGUCCCGAGGACAGGCCAGAGAAUGUGGUGGCCAAGCCAGCCUCUGCAGGUGACGGUGUCUUCAAAACCCCACCCAGGCCUGGAGGCAGGCAGAGCCCUCGGCCAGUGUGAACCCGAGAGGGGGGACCCGAGGCAGGUGCACAACAG